Molecule: ribosomal RNA, 318 nt
Filed under: Cladosporium sp.
Lineage: Eukaryota; Fungi; Ascomycota; Dothideomycetes; Cladosporiales; Cladosporiaceae
Description: partial large subunit ribosomal RNA
Rfam family: Eukaryotic large subunit ribosomal RNA
Source: RNAcentral
UAGACCGAUAGCGAACAAGUAGAGUGAUCGAAAGAUGAAAAGCACUUUGGAAAGAGAGUUAAAAAGCACGUGAAAUUGUUGAAAGGGAAGGGAUUGCAACCAGACUUGCUCGCGGUGUUCCGCCGGUCUUCUGACCGGUCUACUCGCCGCGUUGCAGGCCAGCAUCGUCUGGUGCCGCUGGAUAAGACUUGAGGAAUGUAGCUCCCUCGGGAGUGUUAUAGCCUCUUGUGAUGCAGCGAGCGCCGGGCGAGGUCCGCGCUUCGGCUAGGAUGCUGGCGUAAUGGUUGUAAUCCGCCCGUCUUGAAACACGGACCAAGA